GAUGAACGCUGGCGGCGUGCUUAACACAUGCAAGUCGAACGAUGAACCUCACUUGUGGGGGGAUUAGUGGCGAACGGGUGAGUAACACGUGAGUAACCUGCCCUUGACUCUGGGAUAAGCCUGGUAAACCGGGUCUAAUACUGGAUACGACCUUCUGGCGCAUGCCAUGUUGGUGGAAAGCUUUUGUGGUUUUGGAUGGACUCGCGGCCUAUCAGCUUGUUGGUGGGGUAAUGGCCUACCAAGGCGACGACGGGUAGCCGGCCUGAGGGGGUGACCGGCCACACGGGGACUGAGACACGGCGCAGACUCCUACGGGAGGCAGCAGUGGGGAAUAUUGCACAAUGGGGGCAAGCCUGAUGCAGCGACGCCGCGUGAGGGAUGAAGGCCUUCGGGUUGUAAACCUCUUUCAGUAGGGAAGAAGCCGGCUUUUGGGUUGGUGACGGUACCUGGAGAAGAAGCGCCGGCUAACUACGUG
RNAcentral lists this ribosomal RNA (475 nucleotides) under uncultured bacterium. RNAcentral's name for it is "partial 16S ribosomal RNA". It matches the Rfam family "Bacterial small subunit ribosomal RNA", at positions 28 to 507 of the family's 1533-position model. The record is from RNAcentral.